UGAGUAACCUGCCCUUAACUCUGGGAUAAGCCUGGGAAACUGGGUCUAAUACCGGAUAGGAGCGUCCACCGCAUGGUGGGUGUUGGAAAGAUUUAUCGGUUUUGGAUGGACUCGCGGCCUAUCAGCUUGUUGGUGAGGUAAUGGCUCACCAAGGCGACGACGGGUAGCCGGCCUGAGAGGGUGACCGGCCACACUGGGACUGAGACACGGCCCAGACUCCUACGGGAGGCAGCAGUGGGGAAUAUUGCACAAUGGGCGCAAGCCUGAUGCAGCGACGCCGCGUGAGGGAUGACGGCCUUCGGGUUGUAAACCUCUUUCAGUAGGGAAGAAGCGAAAGUGACGGUACCUGCAGAAGAAGCACCGGCUAACUACGUGCCAGCAGCCGCGGUAAUACGUAGGGUGCGAGCGUUAUCCGGAAUUAUUGGGCGUAAAGAGCUCGUAGGCGGUUUGUCGCGUCUGUCGUGAAAGUCCGGGGCUUAACCCCGGAUCUGCGGUGGGUACGGGCAGACUAGAGUGCAGUAGGGGAGACUGGAAUUCCUGGUGUAGCGGUGGAAUGCGCAGAUAUCAGGAGGAACACCGAUGGCGAAGGCAGGUCUCUGGGCUGUAACUGACGCUGAGGAGCGAAAGCAUGGGGAGCGAACAGGAUUAGAUACCCUGGUAGUCCAUGCCGUAAACGUUGGGCACUAGGUGUGGGGACCAUUCCACGGUUUCCGCGCC
RNAcentral lists this ribosomal RNA (717 nucleotides) under Micrococcus sp. RNAcentral's name for it is "bacterial SSU rRNA". It matches the Rfam family "Bacterial small subunit ribosomal RNA", at positions 118 to 847 of the family's 1533-position model. Lineage: Bacteria; Bacillati; Actinomycetota; Actinomycetes; Micrococcales; Micrococcaceae. The record is from RNAcentral.